CCCUUAGAUGUUCUGGGCCGCACGCGCGCUACACUGACGGAUUCAACGAGCUUACAACCUUGGCCGAAAGGUCUGGGUAAUCUCCAAAAUCCGUCGUGAUGGGGAUAGAUUAUUGCAAUUAUUAAUCUUCAACGAGGAAUGCCUAGUAAGCGCAAGUCAUCAGCUUGCGUUGAUUACGUCCCUGCCCUUUGUACACACCGCCCGUCGCUCCUACCGAUUGAAUGGUCCGGUUAAGCGUUUGGACUAUGGUUUUCUGAUGGUCCGCCGUUGGAUUACCGUGGGAAGUUCGUUAAACCUUAUCAUUUAGAGGAAGGAGAAGUCGUAACA
Molecule: ribosomal RNA, 327 nt
Filed under: uncultured eukaryote
Lineage: Eukaryota
Description: partial 18S ribosomal RNA
Rfam family: Eukaryotic small subunit ribosomal RNA
Source: RNAcentral